CCUGGCGGCCGUAGCGCGGUGGUCCCACCUGACCCCAUGCCGAACUCAGAAGUGAAACGCCGUAGCGCCGAUGGUAGUGUGGGGUCUCCCCAUGUGAGAGUAG
This 103-nucleotide ribosomal RNA is filed under the name Morganella morganii subsp. morganii. Lineage: Bacteria; Pseudomonadati; Pseudomonadota; Gammaproteobacteria; Enterobacterales; Morganellaceae. The record is from RNAcentral.